This is a long non-coding RNA of Cyprinus carpio (common carp), 966 nucleotides long. RefSeq lists it as uncharacterized. The transcript has 3 exons. Lineage: Eukaryota; Metazoa; Chordata; Actinopteri; Cypriniformes; Cyprinidae. The record is from RefSeq and is a predicted model, not a curated record.
GUCGAUGGUUCCAGUGAGUGUGAUGGCAGAGUUCAGAUUCUGUAUAAUGAGCAGUGGGGUGCAGUGUGUCACUCGGGCUGGGAUCUAGCAGAUGCUACAGUGUUGUGUCAAGAGCUUUACUGUGGAGACACUGCAGAACUGAGAGCGUAUGUGCAACCUUCAGGGCAAAUAUGGAUGGAUCAACUGGCCUGUACGGGAAAUGAGUUGACAGUGCAGGAAUGUCCUUUUACUGGAUGGAGUGUGAGCAGUUGUUUGGAUGGGCUUCAUGCAGGAGUUUCAUGCCAAACAACUGUCAGAAAAGUUGUGGUGAGGAUUGUGGUGAAGGCCAAGAGUGGAGUCAAUCUCAAUGAUCCAGAUAUCAAGAAUAAGCUUUUGGAUACGAUAAGGCAUGUGGUUGAAAGUAAAGGGAAGUAUAGUGUGAAUUGGAGAAUACAGCCUGAUGAGCAGGUAUUUCACCAGCAGAGAACAGCCACAGGUUUGUAAACUUGGAGGUGUUGGGAGUCUCUUCCAUGUAAAAUGUGCAAUAUAUGUAAAUAUUUAUGCAUUGUUGAUUUUAAUUAUAAACCUGUUAUAUUCACAGGCAGGGCUGAGGCAUACCUUGUGAAGUAGGUAGCCACACAGUCAGGGCUUCAAGAAGGAGUGAGAUUUAUUUAUUUAUUUAAUUUUAGUUUGGACAUUAGUUUGGACUUAUUAUUACACUAAUAUCAGCAAGUUAUGACCUCAUUAGUUUUUCUAAAUCUCAACCGCCACGCCCUGCCUCCACCUUAGAGCGGCAUCAGCAGUCUACUUGCAAAACACCCUGAAGUACAUCUAAAAAUGCCUUCAAAAUUUGGAUAUGAAUACAAAAGAUGACGAUUUUUGCUGUUGGUGAUGACAAAUGAGUUUUAAAGCUGACAGGUGCUUCUGAAAGGUAGGGUAAUGUUGAGUGUGAAAGCAGGGAGAAGUCAUGGGUGACCAUGAUUUCAC